GAUGAACGCUGGCGGCGUGCCUAAUACAUGCAAGUCGAGCGAACGGACGAGAAGCUUGCUUCUCUGAUGUUAGCGGCGGACGGGUGAGUAACACGUGGAUAACCUACCUAUAAGACUGGGAUAACUUCGUGAAACCGGAGCUAAUACCGGAUAAUAUUUUGAACCGCAUGGUUCAAAGGUGAAAGACGGUCUUGCUGUCACUUAUAGAUGGAUCCGCGCUGCAUUAGCUAGUUGGUAAGGUAACGGCUUACCAAGGCAACGAUGCAUAGCCGACCUGAGAGGGUGAUCGGCCACACUGGAACUGAGACACGGUCCAGACUCCUACGGGAGGCAGCAGUAGGGAAUCUUCCGCAAUGGGCGAAAGCCUGACGGAGCAACGCCGCGUGAGUGAUGAAGGUCUUCGGAUCGUAAAACUCUGUUAUUAGGGAAGAACAUAUGUGUAAGUAACUGUGCACAUCUUGACGGUACCUAAUCAGAAAGCCACGGCUAACUACGUG
Molecule: ribosomal RNA, 497 nt
Filed under: uncultured bacterium
Lineage: Bacteria
Description: partial 16S ribosomal RNA
Rfam family: Bacterial small subunit ribosomal RNA
Source: RNAcentral